AUACUUACCUGGACGGGGUCAAUGGGUGAUCAUUAAGACUCAUGGCCUUGAUUGGUGGCCUCCAUUGCACUUUGGAGGUGCACCCGUCUAAGGUCUGUCCAAGUGACUUGGGCAGAACCUACGUCUUAAUUUGUGGUAGUGGGGUCUGCGUCCGCGCAGCCCCUAC
This 166-nucleotide small nuclear RNA is filed under the name Cephalotus follicularis. RNAcentral describes it as "U1 spliceosomal RNA". It matches the Rfam family "U1 spliceosomal RNA". From Rfam's summary of the family: U1 is a small nuclear RNA (snRNA) component of the spliceosome (involved in pre-mRNA splicing). Its 5' end forms complementary base pairs with the 5' splice junction, thus defining the 5' donor site of an intron. There are significant differences in sequence and secondary structure between metazoan and yeast U1 snRNAs, the latter being much longer (568 nucleotides as compared to 164 nucleotides in human). Lineage: Eukaryota; Viridiplantae; Streptophyta; Magnoliopsida; Oxalidales; Cephalotaceae. The record is from Rfam by way of RNAcentral.